This 4496-nucleotide long non-coding RNA is filed under the name Salmo salar (Atlantic salmon). RNAcentral describes it as "lncRNA (ENSSSAG00000096495.1)". The record is from RNAcentral. Lineage: Eukaryota; Metazoa; Chordata; Actinopteri; Salmoniformes; Salmonidae.
GAUCAAUCAAAACAACCUACAAUCGUGCACGAAAGUUGAGGUGGAUAUGGACGUCAUGUCGUUGAAUCCUGGUUACGGUCCGAUUCUUGAAAACAACACCAUUUCUACAAGUUUAUGUAAUACAUUUGCCGCAGCCCGUUGACAUUCAUGGAUCGAUUCCAAGUAUGCACAGAACGCGUUUGGAGAACAGAUUUACCAAGUGUUGAGUGUUUUCUAGAAUGAAAUGGAAGUCAAGGCUAUUUCUUUGCAGAAAGAUGAGCUGAGAGCCAAGCUGAGGUCAAUGCCAAAGAAAGAUGCCAGCCUGCAGAGAGAUGUUGGCCUCUUGGAGCAUCUACAAAGGGCUAAAUCGGGAGCCAUUGGCAUCGCACUGGAGGCCAUGGUCAUGUUCAAGGGGAGUCGCACCUGGGAUUGGCUUCAGUCUUUGGACAGAGAAAAAAGAACGUCAGUGCUGAAAGCACUUCAGCAGGCAGUUAAGCAAAAAAAAGUGUUGGCAACAGAGCGCUCAAGUCUCCAGAAUGGGAAAGGCAACCGCACGAAAGCAGUUGUGAAGCCUGGACAUGCUGCCACUGAGAAACAACAGAAAAUUGCUGAACAGAACAUUGAGGGAAUGACAGUGAAGUCAGAGGAGAGGGAUUCCGGGCUUGAGAUUGCAGUUGCCAGACCUCAACAAUCACCCCUACAGGGUGAAAGCACAAUGACAGUGAAGUCUGAGGAGAUGGAGAGGGAAGUAGCAAGACCUCAACAAUCAGCCCUACGGGGCGAAGUGAGUCCUGCUGAAAAUACUUGUUGUAGAUAAACAGAAAGCUAUGGAGCAUGAACAACACCAUCCAGGUGGACACUAUACCAUGAUGAAACAUGAUUUGAUCAGAGAGUUAGAGAAGUGUGGUGGUUUGUGGGAGAAAGAGGAUGAUAUGGAUGAACAUUUGGCUUUAUUAGAUAAACAUGAUAGGUAUUCUGCAGUUAUCUGCCAACUUCAGUUCCGGAAAUAUGUCCUUUGUAUGAAAAAUGAGAACGGGCUUCUCAAUGUUUCAGUUGCCAGCAUAAAACUUAGCUUUGAAGAACUUGUGACAAAUUUGGGGUCAUUUAUCUCAAAGAUCAACACCUCUGAAGAAGUCAAAGCCCGCAGUCUGAAACGAAAAGCAGACACAACUGAGACAUUGCCCGACAAACCAUCCAAAAAGAUGGUGAAAGUGGCUGAGAAUGUUGUGGGCAGGGUUUCAAAGUGUGCCACAGGUGUGGUUAGGGAUACAGAGCCAAUGAAGAGCUACACACCCAGAAAACAAAAACAUUGCCUACCUGCUGAAGUUACUGUUCAGGUGGAUUAACAUGAAAAAGGGCGGGAGAUCCUCUAGAAAAGUAGCACUCACAAAGCCAGUACACAUCCAGUAAUGAAGAGAACAGAGAAAAACACGAGAUUUUAGUGAAACUAAGACCACAGAUCUAAUUGUAUUAUGACUAGGUCUACUAAAUGGGGGAAAAAGGUUGUUUAGUCUGACAAAAAUACCAUUUCCUAGGCUUAAGUUUUCAUCAGUGUUGAAAGCAGAUGUGUCUUUAGAAUCUUAUAGACAGAUGUAUCAGUAGUGACUGAGCUGUAUAAAUUGUCACAAUGUGUAGAUGGGAACGUGAAACAACUAAUGCUUUUACUUUAUUUAAACUUUAUACCAGCAAGAAUUUGGACUAUGAGCUGCUUCCAGUGUUGACUUAGGCCAUAUUCAGCACAAUUCACAAUGGUCAAACCUAUCCGUGAUUCUAACCAGGUUACAGGAUAGAGGAGAAAGAAGUGUGUCUUUUGAGAGAGACAAUCUACCUACUUGACCCAUUUAAGGCCUUUUUUUUUUGCAUUUGUCUAUCAAAAUCAUUUUAGUUGGGAAAGGAAGGUUAGUGGGUAAGGUGAACUGGGAAAGAUGACCCUUGGCUUCCUUCAAAGUCCUUAUCACUUCUAUGGAUAUCAAGUUGUCUGUUAAGAAGCCGUACCUUGGAAAGUCAUUACAGGAAUUGGACAGAAAAACCUAUGAGACAUUUUUAUUUUUGUUCAUUUUUCUUUGGAUGGACUUGAAUUGUGAAUUUUCCCCAUGGCAGUUGAUCCUUGGGAGAGAACAAAAGCUCAUCUACAGUAUAGGAGACAAAAUCAGUGAGAAAUGACAAUCAUCAUUUUAGCCUUGUUUUUAUUUUUUGGUUUGAUUUUCCCGAAGACGAUACUUCAGAAUUGUUCAAGUUUUACCACUGACGUUUUGGAAAGAAUCUGUUAAAGGGGGAACUGUCCUUGGUGAAGGGGCACUCCCACUGUGGUACAAGUGUAACUCUUUGUUUACCUUGGAUGCUGUAAUCGCUCACCUGCUGUGGAACAGAAAAGGUAAGUGACUCCUGAUCACUUUUUAAUGAGCCGUUUUAUUUCACACAGAGCAGUGAGUUUAGAACACAGAGGUAUGCAGUAGCUGCUGUUUUAUAAUGUGUUGUCUCCCUUUUUAGAGCUGGACAAAAAUACAUAACGCGAUAAAUUGCCUGAAUUGAUGCGAGAACAAUACCUUUAUAACAAUAAUGUGCACCACAGUUUUUUUUUAAUGAUCCUUUAAAUUACUUCUAACAGUUUGGUAGUUGUAGCCAUCAAUUGUCCUGUUAACAAUCAGUCAUAUUAGCAAACUUAUUUCAUUUCAAACUUCACAUUUCUCUAGUAUACACUACUUAUUGUAAUGAACCAUAUCAGCAAAAUGCCUGCGAUAAGCAAUCGGUAUGGUCAGUGUCGAUCAUUUCCGGUUUAUCGUCCCAGCUCUACUCCCUCUACAGGUAAACAAUCUGUAUUCCGUUUCCCCUGAGGUCAGUCAUCUGAGGAGUGCUGUGGUUCUGCUCCUACUGCUCACAAGAGAAGACCUCAAUACCUGGCCGGUUUGAGAGACAACAUUUAUAUAAAAACACCCACACCCUUAAACAGAGUCUGAAAGUGCAGUCAUAUUCUAAGUUUGUGUUGUCUUCCACUACAGGUAAACAAUCCCAGUGACAUGAUUCAUGUAUGCAGCAUCUCCUGACCAGCAAUACGGUUAUCUGAGUGGUCAUCUCAGUCUUGUGUCCACUGUUCACAAUAGAAUACCUCAAGACCUAAAAAAGGUUGGUUGGUAAGGUCUGUCUGUCUGUCUGGCUCUGUCUGUCACUCUCUGUCUCUCUCUCUGUCUCUCGUCAUCGUAGCCUGUAUAACUGUCUCCUUUCAAUGUAGCCAUCUCUGACUGUGCUUAUCUGUCCAUAACACUUUUUAAUUACCACGUUUCAGAUGGAGUUUAGGGAAUGUUGUGUCUCUAGAACUGUGGUCCCAGGACAGAAGCAGUGGAUGAGUCCACCUGACCAUUCAAACUCAGGCGCUGACAUAUCAGAAGGCUGGUCCCUGUUAUUGAUGCAGUUUGUUGUAUGUAUAAUACAAUAAGCUACUCUAUCAAAACAUAUGUAUCUAUGAAUGAUAGACGCUUGGUUUUACUUACAGGGCUCCACUAAUAUUAGACAACAGACAGCAGAAGACCAUUCAGACAUGAUGAUGCAGACAUACUACAUCAUUACUGCAGGUUAACAGUUAGGUUAGGUUCUCUGUCUGUCUCUCUGUCUGUCUCUCUGUCUGUCUCUCUGUCUGUCUCUCUGUCUGUCUGUCUGUCUCUUUUUUUUUUUACUAACAAAAUAAAUGUUCUCACAGGUAGUUGGAUAAAUGCACCAUCUCUACAACCCAUGGAUCCAGGCCAGGGGCAGUAGAUACCACCAUCUCUACAACCCAUGGAUCCAGGCCAGGGGCAGUAGAUACCGCCGCCUUUCAAACACCUGGGAUGACAUAUCUGCAGGUUUCUCUCCUCAGUCUGUAUCCAGAGAGUCCCUCAUCCUCUUUGUGCCAGGAUAAGGAUCUUAGACCUUGUCCUUGGUGUGGUUUUGGACCAACUCUGUUUCUGUAAAGAAGACACCUUGUCUGCAUCAUCACACGGCCAACAGACAGCCAACUGACUGCCUCUGGCCUCCAUGCCUGUGUUUCUGUCCGCUUAGAGGACUGACUGACUGUUCUGAGACCUGUUGUCCCACAUUCCACUGAUUCAUUCCACAGCAGAACCACGACUGAUUAGGAUGUUACAGGACAAAAGAGACUCAUCUGUGAGUAGAGACUACAGCACCCACAAAGCAUUGCAGCUUCCCUUACUGACACUUGUAGGCCUACUUGCACUGCCUGCUUUUACUACUGUCUCAAGGUAAUUUUUUUCUGAGUUAAUGUUCUGUAAAUACUCCCAGGUUUGGUGUUUCAGAUGUUCAUGGUCUAUGUUACCAGUUUUACACUGUGUGGACUUGGGGUUUUUGUUCUCCAGGAAAUUGCAGCUUGUGGAAAAUAUCACACAAUUUACUGCUGACAAAUUUGACAUUUCUAUUUUUCUUUUAUGUUGGAACAUGUUCUGUUUCUGGAUAAUAAAGUAUACUUUGAAUAUCAUAUUUAUGGAUUAUAAUUGCUUAUAGAAAAAAAACGACAUUAAAUAUUUGUU